Molecule: ribosomal RNA, 465 nt
Filed under: uncultured Klebsiella sp.
Lineage: Bacteria; Pseudomonadati; Pseudomonadota; Gammaproteobacteria; Enterobacterales; Enterobacteriaceae
Description: bacterial SSU rRNA
Rfam family: Bacterial small subunit ribosomal RNA
Source: RNAcentral
CCUACGGGCGGCUGCAGUGGGGAAUAUUGCACAAUGGGCGCAAGCCUGAUGCAGCCAUGCCGCGUGUGUGAAGAAGGCCUUCGGGUUGUAAAGCACUUUCAGCGGGGAGGAAGGCGUUAAGGUUAAUAACCUUGGCGAUUGACGUUACCCGCAGAAGAAGCACCGGCUAACUCCGUGCCAGCAGCCGCGGUAAUACGGAGGGUGCAAGCGUUAAUCGGAAUUACUGGGCGCAAAGCGCACGCAGGCGGUCUGUCAAGUCGGAUGUGAAAUCCCCGGGCUCAACCUGGGAACUGCAUUCGAAACUGGCAGGCUAGAGUCUUGUAGAGGGGGGUAGAAUUCCAGGUGUAGCGGUGAAAUGCGUAGAGAUCUGGAGGAAUACCGGUGGCGAAGGCGGCCCCCUGGACAAAGACUGACGCUCAGGUGCGAAAGCGUGGGGAGCAAACAGGAUUAGAUACCCGUGUAGUC